CCUACGGGAGGCAGCAGUGGGGAAUCUUAGACAAUGGGGGCAACCCUGAUCUAGCCAUGCCGCGUGAGUGAUGAAGGCCUUAGGGUCGUAAAGCUCUUUCGCCUGUGAUGAUAAUGACAGUAGCAGGUAAAGAAACCCCGGCUAACUCCGUGCCAGCAGCCGCGGUAAUACGGAGGGGGUUAGCGUUGUUCGGAAUUACUGGGCGUAAAGCGCGCGUAGGCGGAUUAGAAAGUUGGGGGUGAAGUCCCGGGGCUCAACCUCGGAACUGCCUCCAAAACUGCUAGUCUAGAGUUCGAGAGAGGUGAGUGGAAUUCCGAGUGUAGAGGUGAAAUUCGUAGAUAUUCGGAGGAACACCAGUGGCGAAGGCGGCUCACUGGCUCGAUACUGACGCUGAGGUGCGAAAGUGUGGGGAGCAAACAGGAUUAGAUACCCUGGUAGUCCACACCGUAAACGAUGAAUGCCAGUCGUCGGGUAGUAUACUAUUCGGUGACACACCUAACGGAUUAAGCAUUCCGCCUGGGGAGUACGGUCGCAAGAUUAAAACUCAAAGGAAUUGACGG
Molecule: ribosomal RNA, 560 nt
Filed under: uncultured Paracoccaceae bacterium
Lineage: Bacteria; Pseudomonadati; Pseudomonadota; Alphaproteobacteria; Rhodobacterales; Paracoccaceae
Description: bacterial SSU rRNA
Rfam family: Bacterial small subunit ribosomal RNA
Source: RNAcentral